CACUGGCGGCGGCGCCUCACUCACUGGGCGGCUGUGCCCUCACAGUCUCAGACAGUGUUCUAGGUAUCAGCAAGUGGAGAAGACGUGAAGGAGUCAAGUUCAUUAUGCGACGUGUGGCAAUGAUGUUAACUCAAGGACGCACGAGGCCGCAGCCAGCAACACCUCCUCCUCCGCCGCUGCCUGGCGGCCCUCGUUC
Molecule: long non-coding RNA, 196 nt
Organism: Homarus americanus (American lobster)
Lineage: Eukaryota; Metazoa; Arthropoda; Malacostraca; Decapoda; Nephropidae
Exons: 3
Source: RefSeq, a predicted model, not a curated record